UACGUAGGUCCCGAGCGUUGUCCGGAUUUAUUGGACGUAAAGCGAGCGCAGGUGGUUUAUUAAGUCUGGUGUAAAAGGCAGUGGCUCAACCAUUGUAUGCAUUGGAAACUGGUAGACUUGAGUGCAGGGGAGGAGAGUGGAAUUCCAUGUGUAGCGGUGAAAUGCGUAGAUAUAUGGAGGAACACCGGUGGCGAAAGCGGCUCUCUGGCCUGUAACUGACACUGAGGCUCGAAAGCGUGGGGAGCAAACAGG
Molecule: ribosomal RNA, 252 nt
Filed under: uncultured bacterium
Lineage: Bacteria
Description: partial 16S ribosomal RNA
Rfam family: Bacterial small subunit ribosomal RNA
Source: RNAcentral